Molecule: long non-coding RNA, 558 nt
Organism: Brassica oleracea var. oleracea
Lineage: Eukaryota; Viridiplantae; Streptophyta; Magnoliopsida; Brassicales; Brassicaceae
Exons: 2
Source: RefSeq, a predicted model, not a curated record
UACACAAUUUUUAGUUGUCUCUUUCUUCAAACCCUCUCUUCUCUUUCUCGAAAACGAAAUGGCUCCCCUUAGAGUCUUCUUUGUUUUUUUUUUUUUGCUAAGGGGGGUUUUCUUUGUUCUUAGUCGGAUCUGAUUGUUUCUUUGUUCUUACAAGUAGGUGUAAUUGUCAUGAUAAUCGCAUCUUAUAUCAUUCGUCGCGUGUUCCCUCUCUGAUUCCUUGAAAGCGAGUUUGCUCUCCCGAUUUCAUGAGUUGCGUUGAAUCCUAAUCCCUUUCCAUCAUUCAUUAUUCAGAUAGUGAUGGAUAUUUGGCUGAGGUAUUAUUUAACUUGGUUUUUAUUGAAGUUAAUCUGUGAUGGUACCAAGUAUAUAGGAAAAAGUCACGUGUUCAGAACUAUGACUUGACAAGUAUAAUUAUGAAGGAAACAUAAUCUCUUCUCUGUCAGAUUUUAGAAAGUUUUGUCUGAGAGGUGUGCGAACUUUAACUGAUCUUUGUUGUAUUUAUGUGGUGGUGUAUAAACAAGGCUAAUUAAGUGAUGGAAUCAUAGUUGAUGUUUGGUA